UCAUCCCCUCAAUUGCGGAUCAACUCGCCCCUCCCUACUGCUCCGCCUCCCUCCUCACAACCGCAUGUCGCCGAUUCCCUGCCGCAUCUGCUCGUCGCCCCUCACGCCCAGCCGGCCACUCCGCCCAGCGCCGUCUGCCGCCGAAGCCCGUCGCCAUCGCGUCCGGCCACCGGCGGUUGCCAACCCCCACCCCUGGCGACUACUCCGCCGUCCACGAUUUGUCGCAGCCGCCCAUCGUCCGCGGCCACAUAGCCGCGCGAUCCCUCAUCACUAUAUCCCCGUCGCGCCGCCUAACCAUCUCCAGAUCACCACGACGAUUCCUCCAGAUUAGAGCGAAGAGCUGCUCCCCAUCCUCGGCUCCUCCGUUGGGACCGAGAAGCUAUGUGGCGAACCUCCAACCAAGCAUCGCCAGAGAGGACAGAGCUGGGGCCGAGGUGGGGAGAAGAGGAGCACACGCCGGUCGGCCCGUCCGUCACUGCCACUGGGCUCCCACCUCCCGCUUUCGUGCCGACUGCCGCUACUCUUCCGGAUUGGCAGAGCCCAAGCAGUAGGAGGCACCGACGAAGGUGAUGAAGACUUGAGAUGAGGCAGUAUGCAGGCUUGCAGAGAUGCAAAUUAGGUGCUAAUUUCUUCAGGGCACCCUUCUUGCAGCAGGAAUUGCUCAAAUCAGCACUCAAAGCUCGUGAGUCAUGAAUACACACUCCGCUGAGUGAACAUUAGGAGUCAUGUAUCUUGCAGCGGGUGCAGGAGCACAUGCCAAGUUCUGACAAGUACAUGUAAAGUUCUUCUUUUAUUGAACAACACUUGAUUAGUGCUUACUAAUCAGCCAUGUAGAGUUAUGUAAUCAAUCCUUUUGUUUUCCUUUUACUAGGUUUUUGAGACUUAGCCUGAGAGAUGUUCCAAUUAUGAAUAAGUUCAUGAUUUAAAACCGACCUGAUGUAUGGGAACUACUAUAGAAGACGGUUCCAAUUGUGAAUAAGCUCAUGAUUUAAAACUGAUCUGAUGUAUGGAACUACUAUAGAAGUGUGGAUUAAUUAAAAUUAUUGGCAACUCAGGCCUUCAUUUUACAUUUUUAA
This is a long non-coding RNA of Oryza sativa Japonica Group (Japanese rice), 1076 nucleotides long. RefSeq lists it as uncharacterized. Lineage: Eukaryota; Viridiplantae; Streptophyta; Magnoliopsida; Poales; Poaceae. The record is from RefSeq and is a predicted model, not a curated record.